ACUCCUACGGGAGGCAGCAGUGGGGAAUAUUGGACAAUGGGGGCAACCCUGAUCCAGCAAUGCCGCGUGUGUGAAGAAGGCCUGCGGGUUGUAAAGCACUUUCAGUAGAGAAGAAAAGCUUAAGGUUAAUACCCUUGAGUCUUGACGUAACCUACAGAAGAAGCACCGGCUAACUCCGUGCCAGCAGCCGCGGUAAUACGGAGGGUGCGAGCGUUAAUCGGAAUUACUGGGCGUAAAGCGCGCGUAGGCGGUUUUGUAAGUCGGAUGUGAAAGCCCAGGGCUUAACCCUGGAAUUGCAUUCGAUACUGCUUAACUAGAGUAUGGUAGAGGGAAGUGGAAUUUCCGGUGUAGCGGUGAAAUGCGUAGAUAUCGGAAGGAACACCAGUGGCGAAGGCGACUUCCUGGGCCAAUACUGACGCUGAGGUGUGAAAGCGUGGGGAGCAAACAGGAUUAGAUACCCUGGUAGGAUAG
This 471-nucleotide ribosomal RNA is filed under the name uncultured bacterium. Its description in RNAcentral is "bacterial SSU rRNA". It matches the Rfam family "Bacterial small subunit ribosomal RNA", at positions 335 to 798 of the family's 1533-position model. The record is from RNAcentral.